This 1475-nucleotide ribosomal RNA is filed under the name metagenome. RNAcentral's name for it is "bacterial LSU rRNA". It matches the Rfam family "Bacterial large subunit ribosomal RNA", at positions 1452 to 2925 of the family's 2925-position model. The record is from RNAcentral.
UUUGUUUGAGCAAUGGGGGGACACAGGAGGAUAGGGUAAGCGCGCUGUUGGAUAUGCGCGUCCAAGCAGUUAGGCCGUCAGUGAGGCAAAUCCCACUGGCAAUAGGCGGAGCUGUGAUGGCGAGGGAAAUUAAGUACCGAAGUUCCUGAUUCCACACUGUCUAGAAAAGCCUCUAGUGAGAAAGAUGGUGCCCGUACCGCAAACCGACACAGGUAGGCGAGGAGAGAAUCCUAAGGUGAGCGAGAGAACUCUCGUUAAGGAACUCGGCAAAAUGACCCCGUAACUUCGGGAGAAGGGGUGCUUUUUAGGGUGAAUAGCCCCAAAAAGCCGCAGUGAAUAGGCCCAGGCGACUGUUUAGCAAAAACACAGGUCUCUGCGAAGCCGCAAGGCGAAGUAUAGGGGCUGACGCCUGCCCGGUGCUGGAAGGUUAAGAGGAGAGGUUAGCGCAAGCGAAGCUUUGAAUUGAAGCCCCAGUAAACGGCGGCCGUAACAAUAACGGUCCUAAGGUAGCGAAAUUCCUUGUCGGGUAAGUUCCGACCCGCACGAAAGGCGUAACGAUCUGGGCACUGUCUCAACGAGAGACUCGGUGAAAUUAUAGUACCUGUGAAGAUGCAGGUUACCCGCGACAGGACGGAAAGACCCCAUGGAGCUUUACUGUAGCCUGAUAUUGAAUUUUGGUACAGCUUGUACAGGAUAGGUAGGAGCCUAGGAAGCCGGAGCGCUAGCUUCGGUGGAGGCAUUGGUGGGAUACUACCCUGGCUGUAUUGACAUUCUAACCCGCACCCAUUACCUGGGUGGGAGACAGUGUCAGGUGGGCAGUUUGACUGGGGCGGUCGCCUCCUAAAGAGUAACGGAGGCGCCCAAAGGUUCCCUCAGAAUGGUUGGAAAUCAUUCGUAGAGUGUAAAGGCAUAAGGGAGCUUGACUGCGAGACCUACAAGUCGAGCAGGGACGAAAGUCGGGCUUAGUGAUCCGGUGGUUCCGCAUGGAAGGGCCGUCGCUCAACGGAUAAAAGCUACCCUGGGGAUAACAGGCUUAUCUCCCCCAAGAGUCCACAUCGACGGGGAGGUUUGGCACCUCGAUGUCGGCUCAUCGCAUCCUGGGGCUGUAGUCGGUCCCAAGGGUUGGGCUGUUCGCCCAUUAAAGCGGUACGCGAGCUGGGUUCAGAACGUCGUGAGACAGUUCGGUCCCUAUCCGUCGUGGGCGCAGGAAAUUUGAGAGGAGCUGUCCUUAGUACGAGAGGACCGGGAUGGACGCACCGCUGGUGUACCAGUUGUUCUGCCAAGAGCAUCGCUGGGUAGCUAUGUGCGGAAGGGAUAAGUGCUGAAAGCAUCUAAGCAUGAAGCCCCCCUCGAGAUGAGAUUUCCCAUAGCGCAAGCUAGUAAGACCCCUGAAAGAUGAUCAGGUUGAUAGGUUUGGGGUGGAAGCGUGGUGACACGUGGAGCUGACAAAUACUAAUCGGUCGAGGACUUAACCU